UGCUGUAGGAGAGAAUACCACGGCGAGAUCUAACAGUCAUGGUUAUACGCGCAGCUUGGAAAUUGAUUCCGCCUCUCGUACUGACAGGCAUGCUGCCAGGUCAGAUUCUGUUCUAGUGGCACAGCGCCGAGACUGCAUACAAAUUUACCCUGAGUGGCUGGAGAAAAUUGAUUCAGGCAAAAAGAUGUGGACAGCUCUCAAACAAUUUCGAGCAAAUGGGAAGCAUGAAGAGGUUAGUAUAUACUCAUGUUCUGGUGUGCUUUGUUAUCAAAUAAUUUUCAUUGUGUGUUAAUCAUCUCAUAACAUAUGGAGUGUUUUCUUGAUGGGCAUUCAGACCAAAUGAUGAACGAAUUAGAUCCUAGGUUCUCCAAAAUAUGACAUUGUGUUUUGCUUCAGUUACCUGAUAGAUUUUCAGCCUUUGCGUCAAAAUGAUUUUAUGCAUUUGUUUUCGCACUAACUUGUAUUUUUUUAACCACAACAAUGCAUAUAUGUAAGAAAAACUCAUGGUCAUUUGUGUGGUUGAUAGAAAUCAGUUAACAUCUCAAUUUCCUCAUGUGCUAUUGUAUGACUACGGAGAUUUUUUCUGACAUGCUCCCUCUUACCUCCCCUUUUCACAUCAGACGUAAAAGUAUAAAAUAAAUCUGAGUCAUUGACUGCAUUAAGUAGUGGACUUGACUAAAUCUUACCUUCUUAACUCCAAUGUGAAAAGAUGGGGUAAGAGGAAGCAUGUUAAAAUGGCUCAUGAAUGUGGUGCUGCCGCCAGUGGCGGAGCUUGAGCAUAAUCCAAGAGGGCCAUUACUUAAAGGGGAGCAAAUUAGAAGGGAAGGAUGGGCAAAUAUCUAGUUUAAACACUAGUUAGGCUUAAAAUAUAGUAUAUUCAUUGAUGGGUGCAAAAAUUGAGGGGGGCCAUGGCCCCUAUUGUUCUACAUGAAGCUCCGCCACUUACUGCCGCACAUUCUACAGUGUUGUUAUAGCCACUGACUGAAUCUUGUUUUUGCACUAUAUCCAAAUGUACUAGCAUUCAUAAGACACCAAUCUGCCAGGAUCUCGGCUUUUGGCCUUCUGCUAGGAUGCACUAAAGAUAUUGAUAAGUCUCGCCAUUCUUGGAUGUUGUGAAGGUUACCUGACUAGAACAGAUUGAUCUGGAGAAGGAUAUGGCGGCGCGGCAAACCUAAAGUAGCGAUGAUGCAAGAAAUGGAAUGUGAUCGAGAAUGGUAUUCUCUCCGGGUGCACACCAGAGAGAAUACAAAUUAGGGUCUGCAUGGACGACCAAAACACAUGAUAUUUUUUCAUCAACUAGCCCAUCCUUUUUCCUUUGAUCUACUAACAUUGGUUUCAAGUUAUUGUAGAAGUUUCUUAUAGUGACUGGUUAAAAUAAUUCACACAUGUUCGUCUAUUCAUGCUAUGUUUCACAAUCUGAUCCGAUGAUGAAUAUCCAUUUUUUCUAAAAAUAGUGCAUCUACCUCUAAUUCUUUCGCAUUCAAUUAUAAAAUUAAAUUCGCCGAAGAAGGGAAAACCUCCCACUUUCAACCAAUAUGAGCUUGAUCUAAACCAGAUCUUCCUUCGGGCCGGGACGGAUUUGGGUCGGGCUUCACAAAGCCUGGAGUCAACAUUCCAAGCCCGAGCCCGGCUUGGCCCGGCUCAAAGCACAUGAACAAUGGCUUCUCAAUUUAAAUAAUUAUAUUCGGGAUAUUAAAAUGAUAUAAUAUACCUAUAUUUUGAAUAAAAUUUACAUUUGUUGCCAUUUCGGGCUUUUGGGCCGGGCUUCGGGCGAGAAAUUGAAGCCCAAGCCUACCCCAGAUGUCGGGCUUUGGGCUCGGGCCUCUGAGCCGGGUAGUCCAUGAACAGGUUUAGUUUGACCUAUUCACUCACAUUUUGAUCCUCGUUCAUUAUAGCAUUUAACCAUAAUUCAUAUGAACAUGCACCACGAGAAUAUAAUAAAGAAAAUGGGUCAAUUUGUAGUAUACAACGCCUUAUUGUGCGAUAUCACAAGAACAUUUUUCUCCUUGAUUACAGUAGUAACUAUUGUGCGAUCUUAUAUGUCAAAUCAUAUAUUAUAUGACAAAUUAAGUAUAUUGUUUUGCUUAUUUCAGUAUUACCUUCAUAAGGAAUAUAGUCACAAAUUUUGCUCCAAACGCAACGUUAUUGAGUUCAUACGAAAUGGAGCUGUGGAAGGGAAGCCGGUACAGAAGGUGCCUAAAUACUUGACUUUCAAACAUAUAGUAAUUAUGCGAAGAUGUAUAUGUUUUUUGUAUUAACUUUAAAAUAUUAAUUUGACAUGGUAUCCUAUUUUUGCACAGAGAUCAUCUGAUACUUCUACGAACAAUCUUCAGGGUAUGUCCAGUUGGCCCCAUGCAUUUGGAUAUUAUUUUGUCUACUAUAGUUACUAUACAGAGAAAUCUAAUUGAAACUAAAAUAUAAUAAAUAUUCAUGGAGAGAAAAAUAGACAUUAAUGUCCACAUACACAACACAAUUAACCAGUACUGUCCUAGUUUACAUGAAUUAAUAUUUGCAAUGACAUUUAGGUUACUCAUGACAUGAUAAAGAAAAAGUUUUUUUUGAGGUGAGAUAAGGUUUUAUAUAACUGUUCAUGGGGGCCUCCUCAUGGUUGCAGACACAUAGUUUUACAGUGCUUCAUGAAAUAGUUGCAUAUCAUCAUGUCUAAAAGAAGAAUCAUGACGGACACAACUUCAAGAAAUUCUUCUUGUAAAAUAACAUAAUUUGUAUAUACCUCAUAGAGUAUGUAACUUGUUGGUAGCAUUUAAUAUUGUGACACACUAGCCAUCAUUUGUGCCAGCAUUAUUUGGGUGAUGAUUUAAUAUCCAAAAGCGUACAUCAAGGUAGUUAUGUGUAAUGAUAUUCUUGUGAAAAUAACUUCCAUAGUGUAUACUUGCAUAUAUGUGUUGUUCUAUUGUAUUCUCACAGUUAAUCCUUUUUCUUAAUUUUUUGUUUGUUUACUUAUGUUUAGAGCAAGAUUAUAAAUUAAGCUGAGCAUAAUUUCUGCAGAUUAUAGAUGGCCCACUAAAAGAAAAAGGACGAAGGCGCAAACUUCGAGUAAUUCUUCUUGCCACAUAGGUUUUUCUAAUUGUGCGAGGAUACCACUUGUAACUGCCUUCAGUCAUCUAUGUCAGUAGUAUUUUGAGAAGAAUUUCAUUACAAAAUGCAACGACUCAAACAAUCAGAUCGUUCAUGAUGAUUCCUAAUUUUAUAACCAAUAAGCUUAACACACCUUCCUAUUUUAGAGUUGUUAUCUUAAUAAAUAUAUACUAUCUGUUAUUAAUGUUGUUGUUGGCUGAAGAACAUUUGUUGCUCAUGGUUAGAAUGUAGAAUUUUCUUAACACAACAACAUAGAGCGAAUGUGGAGGCCAAUAUAGAUUGAAACCAUUAAUUCAUAUUAAAAUGGUCAUGACUUCUUAUUUUUAUUUGACAUAAAUGUUUGUUACUUGUUUGAAUUAAUGUGUUCUGCAAUUAUAUGAUACUUCUAUAUUCAUACUAUUUUUAUGAAAUGUGCAGCUAGUUUGUCGACGGGAGCACGAACAACCACAACUUCUACAAAGCUUCCGCAUGGUUUCAUCUAGUAUCAUGCGGAAGACAUUGAGACAAUCAAGAUUACUUGAGCAACCUGAAUUAUCUUAGUUGUUACCUGCUUUCAAACGAAUGUGUCCUCUCAUAGUAUGCAUGUACUUCUGUUGUUGAGGAAUUUAUAUCAUUGGACAGUUCUAUUUUUCAUAAUUAUUUAUUAAUGGGUACAUAACUUCAAUCCUGGAAGAUUAUCAGAUAGCCAGUCAAGGAAGCGAUUUGUUUAUUGAAUUGUGCAUAAUAGGGACAUUUUUACAUUCAAAGGAACAUCGUAGGAAUAAUUUG
Molecule: long non-coding RNA, 3864 nt
Filed under: Triticum aestivum (bread wheat)
Lineage: Eukaryota; Viridiplantae; Streptophyta; Magnoliopsida; Poales; Poaceae
Description: long non-coding RNA (TAES_LNC014095)
Source: RNAcentral